Molecule: long non-coding RNA, 1310 nt
Filed under: Salvia miltiorrhiza (redroot sage)
Lineage: Eukaryota; Viridiplantae; Streptophyta; Magnoliopsida; Lamiales; Lamiaceae
Description: long non-coding RNA (SMIL_LNC005142)
Source: RNAcentral
UAUCUAUAAGAUUGGUCUGUUACAAAGAAACUCCAUUCACACAACAAAAAAGGGACGUGCUUCUUUAAUUUUUGAUUCAUAGUCUAUUGCUUCUUUAAUUUUAGGCAGCAGGGAUUACUCCUUCUGUGAAUUGUGCUCUUGGUCCUGGUGUUCUGUUGUGGUUGUGUUCUUGAUCUAGCCAAUUACAGCCUACUUAGAAAUUUGUGCUGUGCUAUUGCUUCUUGCAGAGGAAUGCUUAAAGAUGUUUUGAGGCUUGAGGUAUUGACUAGGCAAUUCAGAAGCUAGUAUUUCCUUGUAUUUUCAUGGGCUGGUGUUUACACUGGUUUGUUUGAUGUUACAUUUGGUGAAUCCGACAGAUGCAUUUUUUUUCAUGCAUCUAUAGGCCUGGAGGUUCCUUUCUGCAGCAAUCAUAUGAUUUUGAGCUUUAUUUUUAUCAGAUUGCAGUAUGCAUGAUGAUCAUAAAGGGUGCACUUCUGAUCUGAAUUUAUUGAUCACAUGUGCCUCAGAUUGCAUGUUUCUGUAGUGGAAAGUAAGGAUGAUAAAUUGCAAAUGUCUGGUCAUAUAGAUUAGCGAGUACGUGGCCUGAACUUUUUCAAGAUUUACCUCAGCUGUUAAUUCAUAAUGACAGCAUUAGAGGUUUUGAUUCAAAUAAUAAUCAAUGAAGGAGCCUUUAUGUAUGUUUUAUAGCAUAGUCUUGAAGUUGAAGGUAUUCCCCUACAGAAGUCAGGCAAAGCUUUCGAACUGUACACAAAUUUGAGCUAGUAAGUUGUUGCUGCUUUGAUGUUAUGUUUUUAAGCAGAAACUAUAAGUAUCAGUAUGGUGCCCUAAUACACAUUUACAUUUACAAAGGGUCUGUUAAGCAGACUUGCAUAGCAGAGCAGACUUGCAGUGCAGAGCAGACUCCCAGAGUCAGAGCAAAGCUGAAGUCCAGAGCAGAGCGAACUUUCAGAGCAGACUCUCAGAGUCAGAGCAGAGCUGAAGUCCAGAGCAGAGCGAACUUUCAGAGCAGAGCGGACUUUCCAGAUCUGAAUAAAGCACAGAGCAGAGCGGACUUUCCAGAGCAGAGUUGAGUUACAGAGCUGACUUAGUUCAGAACAGACUACGUUUCCAGACCUGGCGUAUUCCAGACCUGACGAGUAAAGAGCUGACUUUCUCGCUAGUUUUGUUUAAACGUGCUGAACAAGUUUUAGUUGUUUCCUUGUUUUCACGCUAUUUCCUUCAUUAGAUUAGUGUUUAGUAUGCCUAUAUAUAGGCUGAUUAUUGUUGGACGAAAUAGCUAAUUUUGAUAUAUGAAAUUGUGAGUUAAUCUC